CUCAGCGUCAGGACCGAGAGAUACAUGUUGGGGGAAGAUCCCCUGGGAUGAUCCGGGCGGGGAGCGUACGGGGAACUUGAGAUGGAGCAGAAGGAUCAAAGAUGAGGAAAAGGGGUGAAUGUGGGGCUGGACGCUGGAGCGUCGGGCAAUCUCACCCGUGAGCCGGUCCUUGGCAAAGCGGCGGCCGCUGUCCAUCCAAGGGAAGCAAGGAAAGCAGGCUAGAAGCCACUGCAAUCAAUCAUCCAGAAGACAGAUGAUGCUAUCUUGGACCAGGGAGGGUAACUCCCUCCCUUCAAAAAGAAGAAAGAAAGAAAGAAAGAAAGAAAGAAAGAAA
Molecule: long non-coding RNA, 334 nt
Organism: Ailuropoda melanoleuca (giant panda)
Lineage: Eukaryota; Metazoa; Chordata; Mammalia; Carnivora; Ursidae
Exons: 3
Source: RefSeq, a predicted model, not a curated record